AGGAGUUCUACAAUCUUUCAAGCC
Molecule: non-coding RNA, 24 nt
Filed under: Arabidopsis thaliana (thale cress)
Lineage: Eukaryota; Viridiplantae; Streptophyta; Magnoliopsida; Brassicales; Brassicaceae
Source: RNAcentral